This 490-nucleotide ribosomal RNA is filed under the name uncultured bacterium. RNAcentral's name for it is "partial 16S ribosomal RNA". It matches the Rfam family "Bacterial small subunit ribosomal RNA", at positions 30 to 507 of the family's 1533-position model. The record is from RNAcentral.
AUUGAACGCUGGCGGCAGGCUUAACACAUGCCAGUCGAGCGGUAACAGAGAGAAGCUUGCUUCUCUGCUGACGAGCGGCGGACGGGUGAGUAAUGCCUAGGAAUCUGCCUAGUAGUGGGGGAUAACUUGCCGAAAGGUAAGCUAAUACCGCAUACGUCCUACGGGAGAAAGGAGGGGACCUUCGGGCCUUUCGCUAUUAGAUGAGCCUAGGUCGGAUUAGUUAGUUGGUGAGGUAAUGGCUCACCAAGACCGCGAUCCGUAACUGGUCUGAGAGGAUGAUCAGUCACACUGGAACUGAGACACGGUCCAGACUCCUACGGGAGGCAGCAGUGGGGAAUAUUGGACAAUGGGGGGAACCCUGAUCCAGCCAUGCCGCGUGUGUGAAGAAGGUCUUAGGAUUGUAAAGCACUUUAAGUUGGGAGGAAGAGCAGUUAACUAAUAUUUGACUGUUUUGACGUUACCGACAGAAUAAGCACCAGCUAACUUCGUG